AUUGAACGCUGGCGGCAUGCCUUACACAUGCAAGUCGAACGGCAGCACGGGAGUAAUCCUGGUGGCGAGUGGCGAACGGGUGAGUAAUAUAUCGGAACGUGCCCAGUCGUGGGGGAUAACUACUCGAAAGAGUGGCUAAUACCGCAUACGAUCUACGGAUGAAAGCGGGGGACCUUCGGGCCUCGCGCGAUUGGAGCGGCCGAUAUCAGAUUAGGUAGUUGGUAGGGUAAAAGCCUACCAAGCCUGCGAUCUGUAGCUGGUCUGAGAGGACGACCAGCCACACUGGAACUGAGACACGGUCCAGACUCCUACGGGAGGCAGCAGUGGGGAAUUUUGGACAAUGGGCGAAAGCCUGAUCCAGCAAUGCCGCGUGCAGGACGAAGGCCUUCGGGUUGUAAACUGCUUUUGUACGGAACGAAAAGGUAGCUCCUAAUACGAGCUGCCGAUGACGGU
Molecule: ribosomal RNA, 453 nt
Filed under: uncultured Comamonadaceae bacterium
Lineage: Bacteria; Pseudomonadati; Pseudomonadota; Betaproteobacteria; Burkholderiales; Comamonadaceae
Description: bacterial SSU rRNA
Rfam family: Bacterial small subunit ribosomal RNA
Source: RNAcentral